Molecule: ribosomal RNA, 672 nt
Filed under: Salmonella enterica subsp. enterica serovar Infantis
Lineage: Bacteria; Pseudomonadati; Pseudomonadota; Gammaproteobacteria; Enterobacterales; Enterobacteriaceae
Description: partial 23S ribosomal RNA
Rfam family: Bacterial large subunit ribosomal RNA
Source: RNAcentral
AGACCCGAAACCCGGUGAUCUAGCCAUGGGCAGGUUGAAGGUUGGGUAACACUAACUGGAGGACCGAACCGACUAAUGUUGAAAAAUUAGCGGAUGACCUGUGGCUGGGGGUGAAAGGCCAAUCAAACCGGGAGAUAGCUGGUUCUCCCCGAAAGCUAUUUAGGUAGCGCCUCGUGAAUUCAUCUCCGGGGGUAGAGCACUGUUUCGGCUAGGGGGCCAUCCCGGCUUACCAACCCGAUGCAAACUGCGAAUACCGGAGAAUGUUAUCACGGGAGACACACGGCGGGUGCUAACGUCCGUCGUGAAGAGGGAAACAACCCAGACCGCCAGCUAAGGUCCCAAAGUCAUGGUUAAGUGGGAAACGAUGUGGGAAGGCCCAGACAGCCAGGAUGUUGGCUUAGAAGCAGCCAUCAUUUAAAGAAAGCGUAAUAGCUCACUGGUCGAGUCGGCCUGCGCGGAAGAUGUAACGGGGCUAAACCAUGCACCGAAGCUGCGGCAGCGAACGUAUCACUUAAAGCGAUUCAGCGGGUUACGAUUGACGGAGCGAAGCGACGUCAAAGCGUAUACAAAGUCGAGUCGGUUUAAGGAUACGUUCGUUGGGUAGGGGAGCGUUCUGUAAGCCUGUGAAGGUGUGUCGUGAGGCAUGCUGGAGGUAUCAGAAGUGCGAAUGCU